GCUUGCUUCUCUGGAUGAGCUGCGAACGGGUGAGUAACGCGUAGGUAACCUGCCUGGUAGCGGGGGAUAACUAUUGGAAACGAUAGCUAAUACCGCAUAAUAGCAGUUGUUGCAUGACAACUGUUUGAAAGGUGCAAUUGCACCACUACCAGAUGGACCUGCGUUGUAUUAGCUAGUUGGUGGGGUAACGGCUCACCAAGGCGACGAUACAUAGCCGACCUGAGAGGGUGAUCGGCCACACUGGGACUGAGACACGGCCCAGACUCCUACGGGAGGCAGCAGUAGGGAAUCUUCGGCAAUGGACGGAAGUCUGACCGAGCAACGCCGCGUGAGUGAAGAAGGUUUUCGGAUCGUAAAGCUCUGUUGUAAGAGAAGAACGAGUGUGAGAGUGGAAAGUUCACACUGUGACGGUAUCUUACCAGAAAGGGACGGCUAACUACGUGCCAGCAGCCGCGGUAAUACGUAGGCCCCGAGCGUUGUCCGGAUUUAUUGGGCGUAAAGCGAGCGCAGGCGGUUAGAUAAGUCUGAAGUUAAAGGCUGUGGCUUAACCAUAGUACGCUUUGGAAACUGUUUAACUUGAGUGCAAGAGGGGAGAGUGGAAUUCCAUGUGUAGCGGUGAAAUGCGUAGAUAUAUGGAGGAACACCGGUGGCGAAAGCGGCUCU
RNAcentral lists this ribosomal RNA (663 nucleotides) under uncultured Bacilli bacterium. RNAcentral describes it as "bacterial SSU rRNA". It matches the Rfam family "Bacterial small subunit ribosomal RNA", at positions 78 to 728 of the family's 1533-position model. Lineage: Bacteria; Bacillati; Bacillota; Bacilli. The record is from RNAcentral.